RNAcentral lists this ribosomal RNA (494 nucleotides) under uncultured bacterium. RNAcentral describes it as "partial 16S ribosomal RNA". It matches the Rfam family "Bacterial small subunit ribosomal RNA", at positions 28 to 507 of the family's 1533-position model. The record is from RNAcentral.
GACGAACGCUGGCGGCGUGCUUAACACAUGCAAGUCGAACGGAAAGGCCUGCUUUCCCUUGUGGAUUGCGGGUACUCGAGUGGCGAACGGGUGAGUAACACGUGAGUGAUCUGCCCCCAACUUUGGUAUAAGCCUGGGAAACUGGGUCUAAUUCCCGAUAGGACUGCAGGGUGGUGCCUGUGGUGGAAAACGAUUUUCUAGUGGUUGGGGAUGAGCUCGCGGCCUAUCAGCUUGUUGGUGGGGUAAUGGCCUACCAAGGCGGCGACGGGUAGCCGGCCUGAGAGGGUGGACGGCCACAUUGGGACUGAGAUACGGCCCAGACUCCUACGGGAGGCAGCAGUGGGGAAUAUUGCACAAUGGGCGGAAGCCUGAUGCAGCGACGCCGCGUGGGGGAUGACGGCCUUCGGGUUGUAAACUCCUUUCGACCGCGAGGAAGCCACCUGGUUGGAAGGGUGGUGACGGUAGUGGUAGAAGAAGCACCGGCUAACUACGUG